RNAcentral lists this long non-coding RNA (529 nucleotides) under Bos taurus (domestic cattle). RNAcentral's name for it is "long non-coding RNA NONBTAT001450". Lineage: Eukaryota; Metazoa; Chordata; Mammalia; Artiodactyla; Bovidae. The record is from RNAcentral.
ACAGUAUUAAAACUCUGCAAGUAGAUGUAAUAUGAUUGGAAUUCACCAGAGCCAAACUCUUUUACCUAAUGUUUUUGGAUCCUGUUUGUUUCCUGUGUUCUUUGACGGUAAUAUUAAACAUCAUGCUGGUACAAUUUUUAAAAUAGAUUUCUGAAAAGAAUUUUGCAAAUAUUACAUGUUUGGUUUGUUUCAGUAAUAUAAAAUUUAUCUUUCAGAAUAAAGGUGCAUUAUGAAUCUUAGUGUGAUGUACUUGAAAACUAUUAAUAGUCACAACCUAGUUAUUUUUACCUUUCUUUUCUCGAAAGAGAUUUUUUAAAACUAGUAAGUAUAUGGUUUCUCAAUAUGGCUUAAAGCCUACAAAUGGUAAUUUAUCGAAGAGUCUCUUAGAACCUUAACUUUACCAUGAAUCACUGGCUCUUCAUAGAAAAAUAUUGUUCUUUAUUACCAUUUAAUGCUAUUAUUUUCUUAUUAUAUGAUAAGUUAGUAACAUGGCUAUACUUGCUACUAAAAGUGACAUUGCUAAAUAAUA